GUUGAUAAAUGUGGCCACCAUAAUUUUUUGUGUGGCUCAGAAAUGACACACUUCACCAUGAAUCAGUCUUAUUCAACUGUUGUGUGAGCAGUUGCUACAGAAAGGCCUGCGAACCUCUUCGUAUCCUCAUGCUUGAUCCGUAACCUCUUACUGAGAACUGUGACCCCAGCACUCCUCCCGUCCACAUCUUGCCAGCGGUCCUGGGUGAAUCUCACGAAAACAUGUCCAGGUUGCAUUUCAGUCCAAAAUUCAAAGCUAAAUACAAUGAGAAAUUGUAUUUGUCAGAAGAGUAUAAACCUAUUUUUGUUUCAGUAAAUUCUUAAAAAUUA
Molecule: long non-coding RNA, 329 nt
Organism: Carassius carassius (crucian carp)
Lineage: Eukaryota; Metazoa; Chordata; Actinopteri; Cypriniformes; Cyprinidae
Exons: 2
Source: RefSeq, a predicted model, not a curated record